This is a long non-coding RNA of Malaya genurostris, 1210 nucleotides long. RefSeq lists it as uncharacterized. The record is from RefSeq and is a predicted model, not a curated record. The transcript is spliced from 3 exons. Lineage: Eukaryota; Metazoa; Arthropoda; Insecta; Diptera; Culicidae.
CGAAUGGUGUAACGUCAUUAUCUCGAUUCAAAGGAAAGCUCUCUGGUAGAUUGUAUGGGAUGCCGUCCUGUUUGUUGAUAACCCUAUCCGUCACCUUCGGUGUAGAAUGUUUACGUUCUUUCUGAAGCUCAGACGAAUCAGCAACAUCCGACUCACAUGCUUCGCAAUCCGGACAACUCCAGGAAAUGUUUCGUACGUCGUCAUUAACACCUGCACAACCGAAAUGAUACCAUCUUUGACAGUGAUCGCAAAAUACCAUAUUCGUUUCAUCGUUAUCGGGACGAUGGCAAGCCGCGCAAUUGUAGCCAGACUGUUCGGGAUUCUCGGGGUUACUAGUUCGAAUGCUUACGAAAUCUCUCCUUAUAUAAAUUUCAAAUUUCCUUCUUUCAAUUCACACGCCCUUUUAACCGACUAUAAAAAUAUUUCUAAGUAGCUUUAUCUAUCACCUUUCUUGCACUAUUUAGACUAUGCUUUUCCUGUUUUCUGACUUAUGCUAUACUUUUUUUCUUCUCCCUCUUUCGCAUAACAACUUUACAUAUAUCUUUACCUGUCUCCCGUCGGUAUAACGGUAUCUCCUUUCAAAUGUAUGUUGUCCUUACUCCGGCGGUACUCACUGAUUGCUGUUUUUGGAUGGUGCGUCUACACUUGGAUUCAUUUUCAGCACAUAUUAAAUACAUUGAAGGCACAUUUUUGGCUAGCCUUAUUCAGGAAUUAUAUUGGACACAAUUUGAAUUCACUUUCGACCUAUUCUUAGCAUAUUUUGGACACGUUUUUGAUAAAUUUUAGGCAUAUUUUGGACACAUGUUCGACACAUUGAAACAUAAUUUGAAUACAUGUUGGGCUCAUUUUAGACCCAUUUAAGGCAAAAAGCGAAUUCAUAUUACAACAUUUCGGACCGAAUAUCAGAUAUUCAAGACCUUUAUCGUGUUGAGUAUUUAGUUAAAAACUGUGGUGACGCUCUUAAUGAUUACACAGUAAAACGCAUUCGAGCACCCCUUGUCGUUUGGCAAUGAAUAAGAAGAAGAACUGGAAUUGCGCAGUUAUAAAUGAGAACACGAAUAAACAAGUUAGAGAGUACGCCGCGCUCGUCUUUUAUUUCUCGUCUCGCGGAACUUUCCCACAUUGGUGACCCCGACGUGAUUCAUUCCAUUCGAUAACGUAAUCGUCGCGACAUAAUAAAAAUGCUCGAGGACAACAACGGAAACAAUUC